This 501-nucleotide ribosomal RNA is filed under the name uncultured Glomus. Its description in RNAcentral is "SSU rRNA". It matches the Rfam family "Eukaryotic small subunit ribosomal RNA", at positions 569 to 1074 of the family's 1831-position model. The record is from RNAcentral. Lineage: Eukaryota; Fungi; Glomeromycota; Glomeromycetes; Glomerales; Glomeraceae.
AGCAGCCGCGGUAAUUCCAGCUCCAAUAGCGUAUAUUAAAGUUGUUGCAGUUAAAAAGCUCGUAGUUGAAUUUCGGGGUUAGUAAGUUGGUCAUGCCUCUGGUAUGCACUGGCUUUACUGAUUCCUCCUUCUUGAUGAACUGUAAUGUCAUUAAUUUGGUGUUGCAGGGAAUCAGGACUGUUACUUUGAAAAAUUAGAGUGUUUAAAGCAGGCAUAAGCUUGAAUACAUUAGCAUGGAAUAAUGAAAUAGGACGUUUGAUCCUAUUUUGUUGGUUUCUAGGAUUGACGUAAUGAUUAAUAGGGAUAGUUGGGGGCAUUAGUAUUCAAUUGUCAGAGGUGAAAUUCUUGGAUUUAUUGAAGACUAACUACUGUCGAAAGCAUUUGCCAAGGAUGUUUCCAUUAAUCAAGAACGAAAGUUAGGGGAUCGAAGACGAUCAGAUACCGUCGUAGUCUUAACCAUAAACUAUGCCGACUAGGGAUCGGAUGAUGUUAUUUUAAUGA